GCCCGGUUAGCUCAAUCGGUAGAGCGUGAGACUCUUAUCACGGCUCUGUUAGCAGCGGUUGCAAUCUCAAGGUUGCGGGUUCGACCCCCGCAUCGGGCU
This 99-nucleotide transfer RNA is filed under the name Lophium mytilinum. It matches the Rfam family "tRNA". Rfam says of the family: Transfer RNA (tRNA) molecules are approximately 80 nucleotides in length. Their secondary structure includes four short double-helical elements and three loops (D, anti-codon, and T loops). Further hydrogen bonds mediate the characteristic L-shaped molecular structure. tRNAs have two regions of fundamental functional importance: the anti-codon, which is responsible for specific mRNA codon recognition, and the 3' end, to which the tRNAs corresponding amino acid is attached (by aminoacyl-tRNA synthetases). tRNAs cope with the degeneracy of the genetic code in two manners: having more than one tRNA (with a specific anti-codon) for a particular amino acid; and 'wobble' base-pairing, i.e. permitting non-standard base-pairing at the 3rd anti-codon position. The record is from Rfam by way of RNAcentral. Lineage: Eukaryota; Fungi; Ascomycota; Dothideomycetes; Mytilinidiales; Mytilinidiaceae.